GACAGAGGGGGCAAGCGUUGCUCGGAAUUACUGGGCGUAAAGGGCGCGUAGGCGGGAUGGCAAGUCGGUCGUGAAAUCCCUCGGCUCAACUGAGGAUCGUCGAUCGAUACUGCCGUUCUUGAGGAUUGCAGAGGAGACUGGAAUUCCCGGUGUAGCGGUGAAAUGUGUAGAGAUCGGGAGGAACACCGGUGGCGAAGGCGGGUCUCUGGGCAAUUCCUGACGCUGAGGCGCGAAAGCGUGGG
RNAcentral lists this ribosomal RNA (242 nucleotides) under uncultured bacterium. Its description in RNAcentral is "partial 16S ribosomal RNA". It matches the Rfam family "Bacterial small subunit ribosomal RNA", at positions 524 to 765 of the family's 1533-position model. The record is from RNAcentral.